UGCAGUCGAACGGUUCCUUACUGGUCUUCGGACUGGUUCUGGGAUAGUGUCGGACGGGUGAGUAACACGUGGGCAACCUGCCCCGGAGACCGGGAUAACAGUUCGAAAGGGCUGCUAAUACCGGAUGUUCUGGCAGGGGGUUAACCUCCUGCCGGGAAAGGGUUUUUAAACUGCUCCGGGAUGGGCCCGCGUCCCAUUAGCCGGCUGGUAGGGUAACGGCCUACCAGGGCGACGAUGGGUAGCCGGCCUGAGAGGGUGACCGGCCACACUGGGACUGAUAACGGCCCAGACUCCUACGGGAGGCAGCAGUGGGGAAUAUUGCGCAAUGGGGGAAACCCUGACGCAGCGACGCCGCGUGGGUGAUGAAGGCCUUCGGGUCGUAAAGCCUUGUCAAGGGGGAAGAAGAUAUGACGGUACCCCUGGAGGAAGCCCCGGCUAACUACGUGCCAGCAGCCGCGGUAAGACGUAGGGGGCGAGCGUUGUCCGGAAUUACUGGGCGUAAAGGGCGUGUAGGCGGUCUGGCAAGUCAGCUGUGCAAGCCCCGGGCUCAACCUGGGGAUUGCAGUUGAAACUGCUGGACUUGAGUUCAGGAGAGGGAAGUGGAAUUCCCGGUGUAGCGGUGAAAUGCGUAGAUAUCGGGGGGAACACCAGUGGCGAAGGCGACUUCCUGGCCUGCAACUGACGCUGA
This 688-nucleotide ribosomal RNA is filed under the name uncultured low G+C Gram-positive bacterium. RNAcentral's name for it is "bacterial SSU rRNA". It matches the Rfam family "Bacterial small subunit ribosomal RNA", at positions 56 to 749 of the family's 1533-position model. The record is from RNAcentral. Lineage: Bacteria; Bacillati; Bacillota.